Molecule: signal recognition particle RNA, 379 nt
Filed under: Gorilla gorilla gorilla (western lowland gorilla)
Lineage: Eukaryota; Metazoa; Chordata; Mammalia; Primates; Hominidae
Description: Metazoan signal recognition particle RNA
Rfam family: Metazoan signal recognition particle RNA
About the family: The signal recognition particle (SRP) is a universally conserved ribonucleoprotein. It is involved in the co-translational targeting of proteins to membranes.
Source: Rfam by way of RNAcentral
GCCUGACGUGGUGGCGGGUGCCUGUAAUCGCAGCUACUUGGGAGGCUGAGGCAGGAGAAUCGCUUGAACUCAGGAGGUGAAGGUUGCAGUGAGCUCAGAUGGUGCCACUGAACUCCAGCCUGGGCGACAAGAGCGAAACUCCAACUCAAAAAAUAAAUAAAUAAAAUAUAGAUAGAUAGAUAGAUAGAUAGAUAGAUAGAUAGAUAGAUAGACAGUGACCUGCCAGGAGCAGGGGACCACCAGGUUGCCUAAGGAGGGGUGAACUGUCCCAGGAUGGAAAUGAAACAGGUCAAACCUCCUGUGUUGAUCAAUAGUGGGAGAGCACCUGUGAAUAACCACUGCACUCCAGCCUGGGCAACAUAGUGAGAACCUAUCUCUA